RNAcentral lists this ribosomal RNA (488 nucleotides) under uncultured bacterium. Its description in RNAcentral is "bacterial SSU rRNA". It matches the Rfam family "Bacterial small subunit ribosomal RNA", at positions 29 to 528 of the family's 1533-position model. The record is from RNAcentral.
AUUGAACGCUGGCGGCAUGCCUUACACAUGCAAGUCGAACGGCAGCAUGGGUGCUUGCACCUGAUGGCGAGUGGCGAACGGGUGAGUAAUGCAUCGGAACGUACCCGGAAGUGGGGGAUAACGUAGCGAAAGUUACGCUAAUACCGCAUAUUCUGUGAGCAGGAAAGCGGGGGAUCGCAAGACCUCGCGCUUCCGGAGCGGCCGAUGUCGGAUUAGCUAGUUGGCGGGGUAAAGGCCCACCAAGGCAACGAUCCGUAGCGGGUCUGAGAGGAUGAUCCGCCACACUGGGACUGAGACACGGCCCAGACUCCUACGGGAGGCAGCAGUGGGGAAUUUUGGACAAUGGGCGCAAGCCUGAUCCAGCCAUGCCGCGUGAGUGAAGAAGGCCUUCGGUUGUAAAGCUCUGUCUGGAGGGACGAAGGAAGUGACGGUACUCCGGAGGAAGCCACGGCUAACUACGUAGCCAGCAGCCGCGGUAAAAUAGACGU